This 549-nucleotide long non-coding RNA is filed under the name Daucus carota (carrot). RNAcentral describes it as "long non-coding RNA (DCAR_LNC001795)". Lineage: Eukaryota; Viridiplantae; Streptophyta; Magnoliopsida; Apiales; Apiaceae. The record is from RNAcentral.
UCAAAAUACGUGCAAAUAGUGAACGUAAACAAACUAUAGGGACGGAGAGAGUAACAUAAAUAUAAUUAAAUUUGAAAUUUUUUUAAUUUUAUAUUAAUAAAAAUGAUUUAAAACAUACGGGGAUGCGCUAGGAAUAAGUCAUUGUUAGAUUUCUUAGUUUUGGAAGAUAUUAUUCUUUGUCCCAUUUUGUUGUUUGAGCUCGUAAUGAAAGUGUGACUCAUUUUCAACCACGGAAUUAGUGGACGAGUGUAAUUUAUGACGGCGCGAUUGUAAUAAUUUCAAAAAAUUGCUAUAAAUAAAAAUUCAUUCUUUUUUAACAUCAAAAAAGAAAGAAGCGGCUCCAAAAAAGAAAAGAAAAAGAGAAGCGGCUCAAAUACAAUGGGACGGAGAAAAUGUAAUUUUAAAAUAUUAUUGAACUUGUCUUUAUGUUUCAGGUUUUUCAUUAACUUUUUCAUACGUAUUUUUAUUCUUUUACAAAUUCAAUAUGAAUUCAACGGUCUCAUUUUUUAUUUUAGGAACAACUUUUUUAUAUUAUUUAUAUUAUUUGAC